This 240-nucleotide ribosomal RNA is filed under the name Pseudomonas sp. JV449. Its description in RNAcentral is "partial 23S ribosomal RNA". It matches the Rfam family "Bacterial large subunit ribosomal RNA", at positions 1 to 234 of the family's 2925-position model. Lineage: Bacteria; Pseudomonadati; Pseudomonadota; Gammaproteobacteria; Pseudomonadales; Pseudomonadaceae. The record is from RNAcentral.
GUUAUAUGGUCAAGUGAAGAAGCGCAUACGGUGGAUGCCUUGGCAGUCAGAGGCGAUGAAAGACGUGGUAGCCUGCGAAAAGCUUCGGGGAGUCGGCAAACAGACUUUGAUCCGGAGAUGUCUGAAUGGGGGAACCCAGCCAUCAUAAGAUGGUUAUCUUGUACUGAAUACAUAGGUGCAAGAGGCGAACCAGGGGAACUGAAACAUCUAAGUACCCUGAGGAAAAGAAAUCAACCGAGA